This 1689-nucleotide long non-coding RNA is filed under the name Glycine max (soybean). RNAcentral's name for it is "long non-coding RNA (GMAX_LNC002196)". Lineage: Eukaryota; Viridiplantae; Streptophyta; Magnoliopsida; Fabales; Fabaceae. The record is from RNAcentral.
AAUAACGCCAACAUCAUCACGUCGGCUCGGCGACUCCUCACCAGAAUCUUACUCCCUACACCCUGCCACUGUCAUUCUGCUCCCAUGAACAAGGUUCGUGAUCAUCACAGGUAUCAAUCACACGAUACAAAAUUGCAAGAGUGAGUUUAUUAUAAAAGAACCAAUACCAAUUCUGAAUAACCACAAUUAGCAAGGAACAUAGGCAAACAUGAUAAGCAUACGCAACAAUCUUUAUUCAACACUCAUAUCCAACAAAUAUUCAUCAUUCACAUCCAACAAUUACUCAUCAUCCAUCCAUGGACCCAAUCAAGACUGCACAGAAUGACGCAUGCAACUGACUCAACACUCAGAUGCAAUGUGGUAUGUACCAACAACAACCAAAUAUCAUGAAAUAGCCUAAGCGUGUCCACACGACACUCUCACUUAGGGAACUGUGCUAAGUUUGUCGAGACCACCCGGUUGUGCACGUAACAGCCCCCCUCCCAUAGGUGAUCAGCCUGGGAGCCCAAAGGUGUUCCCUACCAGGUGACAAGCCCCCUAGUACAAAGUACACUUGGCCACAGUUACUCUAUUUCCUGUGUCGUAUGAGUUAUGAUCACGACCAAAAGUAAGUGCCAAAGACCAUGGACCAAUUAAAGCGCCUAAGCAUCUCCUCAGAAAUGCUUAGAUUCUCUAACCACGCUAGUUACCCACGUCUGGGCCAUCCGACAAGGUCAGUGCACUCUACCCCCCAUGACAUACACUCUAUACGACGUAUGAUCGUGGCCAAAAGCUAGUGCCAAAGACCCUGGAAGGUCAGUGCACAGUGCCCCCCACGAACAUACAUAACAUGCACAUGCCAAUGCAUUUCCAACAUCAAUCAACAUUCCAUUUCCAUGUCAUUCACAACAUAAAUAUCAUCUCAUCUUAAUGACGUUAUCAACAACAACAACAACCUCAUUUCAUAUUCACAUAUUCAUCAAUAAUAACAAUUCAUGUUGACAUGGUCUUUAUUAACAACUUUAUCUCAAAUCAAUAUCAUCAUAAUUAUCAUUAUCAUCACAUAUCAAUUAAAAUCCUCAAUAGCAACAUCAACAACAAUUCAAACAAACACAACAAUAUCAUUUCCACACGCACGGUCUUCAAACAACACAUUUCAAACAACCAAAACAAUAUCAUUCAUCACAAUACAUAUAUAUAUAUAUAUAUAUAUAUAUAUAUAUAUAUAUAUAUAUAUAUAUAUAUAUAUAUAUAUAUAUAUAUAUAUAUAUAUAUAUAUAUAUAUAUCGCAUCCCAUUAGUUAAAACGUAAUUUUAUUUGAAGAAAAAUCAGCAUGCAGCAGGGACAGGUAGAUAUCCUUAUAGCUAGGUUCCCUGACCCUAACUAUGGUGUUAAAAUGGUAAAUUUUAUAAUAAACUCCCCUUACCUAUCGUGAGCUACCCCGCGGAUUCCUCGUUGCGUCACUUGAAGAUUCCUUUCUGUCCUUGCUCGUCGAUUCCACACAAGCCUCUCGAAAGAAAAUGAAAGGUCAGAUUAAGGUUUCGUUCUCUACCGAACCGCAAGCCAAGUUGGAAGAUUCCGCUUUAGUUGAAGGGUUCCUCUCGGUGUGGGUUUUCAAUGGAGAACAGUGAUGGUUUGUGGUGGCUAAUGGUGGUUGUGGGUGAUGGAGAAAGUGCUUGGAACUUUAGAAAUGGCUUUGGAAGAAAGAAA